AUAUAUGAAGUAAAAUUUUACAUUUAAUUUCGACUUAAAAAUUUGAUUUCAAUUAAUCCAUAUAUA
RNAcentral lists this transfer RNA (66 nucleotides) under Mellinus arvensis (field digger wasp). RNAcentral's name for it is "tRNA-Arg". The record is from RNAcentral. Lineage: Eukaryota; Metazoa; Arthropoda; Insecta; Hymenoptera; Crabronidae.